RNAcentral lists this ribosomal RNA (552 nucleotides) under Escherichia coli. Its description in RNAcentral is "partial 23S ribosomal RNA". It matches the Rfam family "Bacterial large subunit ribosomal RNA", at positions 418 to 971 of the family's 2925-position model. Lineage: Bacteria; Pseudomonadati; Pseudomonadota; Gammaproteobacteria; Enterobacterales; Enterobacteriaceae. The record is from RNAcentral.
CGGGACACGUGGUAUCCUGUCUGAAUAUGGGGGGACCAUCCUCCAAGGCUAAAUACUCCUGACUGACCGAUAGUGAACCAGUACCGUGAGGGAAAGGCGAAAAGAACCCCGGCGAGGGGAGUGAAAAAGAACCUGAAACCGUGUACGUACAAGCAGUGGGAGCACGCUUAGGCGUGUGACUGCGUACCUUUUGUAUAAUGGGUCAGCGACUUAUAUUCUGUAGCAAGGUUAACCGAAUAGGGGAGCCGAAGGGAAACCGAGUCUUAACUGGGCGUUAAGUUGCAGGGUAUAGACCCGAAACCCGGUGAUCUAGCCAUGGGCAGGUUGAAGGUUGGGUAACACUAACUGGAGGACCGAACCGACUAAUGUUGAAAAAUUAGCGGAUGACUUGUGGCUGGGGGUGAAAGGCCAAUCAAACCGGGAGAUAGCUGGUUCUCCCCGAAAGCUAUUUAGGUAGCGCCUCGUGAAUUCAUCUCCGGGGGUAGAGCACUGUUUCGGCAAGGGGGUCAUCCCGACUUACCAACCCGAUGCAAACUGCGAAUACCGGAGAAU